RNAcentral lists this ribosomal RNA (526 nucleotides) under Alternaria alternata. RNAcentral's name for it is "eukaryotic LSU rRNA". The stretch from base 161 to 314 matches the Rfam family "5.8S ribosomal RNA". Lineage: Eukaryota; Fungi; Ascomycota; Dothideomycetes; Pleosporales; Pleosporaceae. The record is from RNAcentral.
CAAUAUGAGGCGGGCUGGACCUCUCGGGGUUACAGCCUUGCUGAAUUAUUCACCCUUGUCUUUUGCGUACUUCUUGUUUCCUUGGUGGGUUCGCCCACCACUAGGACAAACAUAAACCUUUUGUAAUUGCAAUCAGCGUCAGUAACAAAUUAAUAAUUACAACUUUCAACAACGGAUCUCUUGGUUCUGGCAUCGAUGAAGAACGCAGCGAAAUGCGAUAAGUAGUGUGAAUUGCAGAAUUCAGUGAAUCAUCGAAUCUUUGAACGCACAUUGCGCCCUUUGGUAUUCCAAAGGGCAUGCCUGUUCGAGCGUCAUUUGUACCCUCAAGCUUUGCUUGGUGUUGGGCGUCUUGUCUCUAGCUUUGCUGGAGACUCGCCUUAAAGUAAUUGGCAGCCGGCCUACUGGUUUCGGAGCGCAGCACAAGUCGCACUCUCUAUCAGCAAAGGUCUAGCAUCCAUUAAGCCUUUUUUUCAACUUUUGACCUCGGAUCAGGUAGGGAUACCCGCUGAACUUAAGCAUAUCAAAA